GAUGAACGCUAGCGAUAGGCUUAACUCAUGCAAGUCGAGGGGUAACGUGUUGGAAGCUUGCUUCCGAUGACGACGACCGGCGGAUGGGUGCGUAACGCGUAUGCAACUUGCCUCACAGUGGAGAAUAACCCGGAGAAAUCCGGACUAAUACUCCAUACACUCUUAAGUACACCUGUACAUGAGAGGAAAGAUUUAUCGCUGUGAGAUAGGCAUGCGUCCUAUUAGGUAGUUGGUGAGGUAACGGCUCACCAAGCCGACGAUAGGUAGGGGUGCUGAGAGGCAGAUCCCCCACAUUGGGACUGAGACACGGCCCAAACUCCUACGGGAGGCAGCAGUGAGGAAUAUUGGUCAAUGGAGGAAACUCUGAACCAGCCAAGUCGCGUGAAGGAAGAAUGUCCUAAGGAUUGUAAACUUCUUUAGCGAGCGAGUAAGGACUUCCACGUGAUGGGAGUUUGAAAGUAGCUCGAGAAUAAGUAUCGGCUAACUCCGUGCCAGCAGCCGCGGUAAUACGGAGGAUACGAGCGUUAUCCGGAUUUAUUGGGUUUAAAGGGUGCGCAGUGGUCUUGCAAGUCAGUGGUGAAAAGCUGAGGCUCAUCCUCAGCCUUGCCGUUGAAACUGUAAGACUUGAGAGUACAUGAUGUGGGCGGAAUGCGUAGUGUAGCGGUGAAAUGCAUAGAUAUUACGCAGAACUCCGAUUGCGAAGGCAGCUCACAAAGGUAUAUCUGACACUGAGGCACGAAAGCGUGGGGAGCGAACAGGAUUAGAUACCCUGGUAGUCCACGCCGUAAACGAUGAUUACUCGAAGUAUGCGAUAUGACAGUAUGCUUCCAAGCGAAAGUGAUAAGUAAUCCACCUGGGGAGUACGCCGGCAACGGUGAAACUCAAAGGAAUUGACGGGGGCCCGCACAAGCGGAGGAACAUGUGGUUUAAUUCGAUGAUACGCGAGGAACCUUACCCGGGAUUGAAAUGUAUGUGAGCCUUUUGGGAAACCGAGAGGGUUCUCUUCGGAGACACAUAUGUAGGUGCUGCAUGGUUGUCGUCAGCUCGUGCCGUGAGGUGUCGGCUUAAGUGCCAUAACGAGCGCAACCCUUAUCGUCAGUUACUAACAGGUAAUGCUGAGGACUCUGGCGAGACUGCCGUCGUAAGGCGAGAGGAAGGUGGGGAUGACGUCAAAUCAGCACGGCCCUUACAUCCGGGGCGACACACGUGUUACAAUGGUAGGGACAGAGAGUAGCCACUCGGUGACGAGGAGCGGAUCUCGAAACCCUAUCUCAGUUCGGAUCGAAGUCUGCAACUCGACUUCGUGAAGCCGGAUUCGCUAGUAAUCGCGCAUCAGCCAUGGCGCGGUGAAUACGUUCCCGGGCCU
This 1366-nucleotide ribosomal RNA is filed under the name uncultured bacterium. Its description in RNAcentral is "bacterial SSU rRNA". It matches the Rfam family "Bacterial small subunit ribosomal RNA", at positions 28 to 1381 of the family's 1533-position model. The record is from RNAcentral.